Molecule: transfer RNA, 71 nt
Filed under: Patescibacteria group bacterium
Lineage: Bacteria
Description: tRNA-Cys
Rfam family: tRNA
About the family: Transfer RNA (tRNA) molecules are approximately 80 nucleotides in length. Their secondary structure includes four short double-helical elements and three loops (D, anti-codon, and T loops).
Source: RNAcentral
GUCGGGAUGGCAGAGCGGUUAUGCAGCCGGUUGCAGACCGGUGUAGGUGGGUUCGACUCCCUCUCUCGACU